Molecule: ribosomal RNA, 263 nt
Filed under: uncultured bacterium
Lineage: Bacteria
Description: partial 16S ribosomal RNA
Rfam family: Bacterial small subunit ribosomal RNA
Source: RNAcentral
GUCCACGCUGUAAACGAUGAGUGCUAAGUGUUAGAGGGUUUCCGCCCUUUAGUGCUGAAGUUAACGCAUUAAGCACUCCGCCUGGGGAGUACGGUCGCAAGACUGAAACUCAAAGGAAUUGACGGGGCCCGCACAAGUGGUGGAGCAUGUGGUUUAAUUCGAAGCAACGCGAAGAACCUUACCAGGUCUUGACAUCCUCUGAUAACCCUAGAGAUAGGGCGUUCCCUUCGGGGACAGAGUGACAGGUGGUGCAUGGUUGUCGU